RNAcentral lists this ribosomal RNA (433 nucleotides) under uncultured bacterium. Its description in RNAcentral is "partial 16S ribosomal RNA". It matches the Rfam family "Bacterial small subunit ribosomal RNA", at positions 29 to 507 of the family's 1533-position model. The record is from RNAcentral.
AGCGAACGCUGGCGGCAGGCUUAACACAUGCAAGUCGAGCGGGCACUUCGGUGUCAGCGGCAGACGGGUGAGUAACACGUGGGAACGUACCCUUUGGUUCGGAAUAACGCUGGGAAACUAGCGCUAAUACCGGAUACGCCCUUUUGGGGAAAGGCUUGCUGCCGAAGGAUCGGCCCGCGUCUGAUUAGCUAGUUGGUGGGGUAAUGGCCUACCAAGGCGACGAUCAGUAGCUGGUCUGAGAGGAUGAUCAGCCACACUGGGACUGAGACACGGCCCAGACUCCUACGGGAGGAAGCAGUGGGGAAUAUUGGACAAUGGGCGCAAGCCUGAUCCAGCCAUGCCGCGUGAGUGAUGAAGGACUUAGGGUUGUAAAGCUAUUUUGUCCGGGACGAUAAUGACGGUACCGGAAGAAUAAGCCCCGGCUAACUUCGUG